UACAGAGGGGGCAAGCGUUGUUCGGAAUUACUGGGCGUAAAGGGCUCGUAGGCGGCCAACUAAGUCGGACGUGAAAUCCCCAGGCUCAACCUGGGAACUGCGUCCGAUACUGGAUGGCUUGAAUUCGGGAGAGGGAUGCAGAAUUCCAGGUGUAGCGGUGAAAUGCGUAGAUAUCUGGAGGAAUACCGGUGGCGAAGGCGGCAUCCUGGACCGACAUUGACGCUGAGGAGCGAAAGCUAGGGGAGCAAACGGG
Molecule: ribosomal RNA, 253 nt
Filed under: uncultured bacterium
Lineage: Bacteria
Description: partial 16S ribosomal RNA
Rfam family: Bacterial small subunit ribosomal RNA
Source: RNAcentral